This 253-nucleotide ribosomal RNA is filed under the name uncultured bacterium. Its description in RNAcentral is "partial 16S ribosomal RNA". It matches the Rfam family "Bacterial small subunit ribosomal RNA", at positions 524 to 776 of the family's 1533-position model. The record is from RNAcentral.
UACGGAGGGUGCAAGCGUUAUCCGGAUUCACUGGGUUUAAAGGGUGCGUAGGUGGGUUGGUAAGUCAGUGGUGAAAUCCCCGAGCUUAACUUGGGAACUGCCAUUGAUACUAUCAGUCUUGAAUAUUGUGGAGGUUAGCGGAAUAUGUCAUGUAGCGGUGAAAUGCUUAGAUAUGACAUAGAACACCUAUUGCGAAGGCAGCUUACUACGCAGAUAUUGACGCUCAUGCACGAAAGCGUGGGGAUCAAACAGG